This 499-nucleotide ribosomal RNA is filed under the name uncultured Glomeromycotina. Its description in RNAcentral is "partial small subunit ribosomal RNA". It matches the Rfam family "Eukaryotic small subunit ribosomal RNA", at positions 591 to 1092 of the family's 1831-position model. The record is from RNAcentral. Lineage: Eukaryota; Fungi; Glomeromycota.
CCAAUAGCGUAUAUUAAAGUUGUUGCAGUUAAAAAGCUCGUAGUUGAAUUUCGGGACCAAUAUGUCGGUCGUGCUUCGGUACGUACUUGCAUUAUUGGUUUCUCCCUUCUGACGAACCAUGAUGUCAUUAAUUUGGUGUCUUGGGGAAUCAGGACUGUUACUUUGAAAAAAUUAGAGUGUUUAAAGCAGGCUCACGCUUGAAUACAUUAGCAUGGAAUAAUGAAAUAGGACGUUUGAUUCUAUUUUGUUGGUUUCUAGGAUCGACGUAAUGAUUAAUAGGGAUAGUUGGGGGCAUUAGUAUUCAAUUGUCAGAGGUGAAAUUCUUGGAUUUAUUGAAGAAUAACUACUGCGAAAGCAUUUGCCAAGGAUGUUUUCAUUAAUCAAGAACGAAAGUUAGGGGAUCGAAGACGAUCAGAUACCGUCGUAGUCUUAACCAUAAACUAUGCCGACUAGGGAUCGGAUGAUGUUAAUUUUUUAAUGACUCAUUCGGCGCCUUACG